GAGUUUGAUCUUGGCUCAGAGUGAACGCUGGCGGCAGGCCUAACACAUGCAAGUCGAACGGCAGCGGGUCAGUAGCAAUACUGAUGCCGGCGAGUGGCGGACGGGUGAGGAAUACAUCGGAAUCUACCUUGUCGUGGGGGAUAACGUAGGGAAACUUACGCUAAUACCGCAUACGAACUACGGUUGAAAGCGGCGGACUCGCAAGAGCGUCGCGCGAUUGGAUGAGCCGAUGUCCGAUUAGCUAGUUGGCGGGGUAAGAGCCCACCAAGGCGACGAUCGGUAGCUGGUCUGAGAGGAUGAUCAGCCACACUGGAACUGAGACACGGUCCAGACUCCUACGGGAGGCAGCAGUGGGGAAUAUUGGACAAUGGGCGCAAGCCUGAUCCAGCCAUGCCGCGUGAGUGAUGAAGGCCUUAGGGUUGUAAAGCUCUUUCGACGGGGACGAUAAUGACGGUACCCGUAGAAGAAGCCCCGGCUAACUUCGUGCCAGCAGCCGCCGUAAG
This 503-nucleotide ribosomal RNA is filed under the name uncultured Gammaproteobacteria bacterium. RNAcentral describes it as "bacterial SSU rRNA". It matches the Rfam family "Bacterial small subunit ribosomal RNA", at positions 9 to 524 of the family's 1533-position model. The record is from RNAcentral. Lineage: Bacteria; Pseudomonadati; Pseudomonadota; Gammaproteobacteria.